AGGUUAAGCGACUAAGCGUACACGGUGGAUGCCCUGGCAGUCAGAGGCGAUGAAGGGCGUGCUAAUCUGCGAUAAGCGCCGGUAAGGUGAUAUGAACCGUUAUAACCGGCGAUACCCGAAUGGGGAAACCCAGUGUGAUUCGUCACACUAUCAUUAACUGAAUCCAUAGGUUAAUGAGGCGAACCGGGGGAACUGAAACAUCUAAGUACCCCGAGGAAAAGAAAUCAACCGAGAUUCCCCCAGUAGCGGCGAGCGAACGGGGAGGAGCCCAGAGCCUGAAUCAGCAUGUGUGUUAGUGGAAGCGUCUGGAAAGGUGCGCGAUACAGGGUGACAGCCCCGUACACAAAAGCGCAUGUGCUGUGAGCUCGAUGAGUAGGGCGGGACACGUGGUAUCCUGUCUGAAUAUGGGGGGACCAUCCUCCAAGGCUAAAUACUCCUGACUGACCGAUAGUGAACCAGUACCGUGAGGGAAAGGCGAAAAGAACCCCGGCGAGGGGAGUGAAAAAGAACCUGAAACCGUGUACGUACAAGCAGUGGGAGCACAGGUUUACCUGUGUGACUGCGUACCUUUUGUAUAAUGGGUCAGCGACUUAUAUUCUGUAGCAAGGUUAACCGUAUAGGGGAGCCGUAGGGAAACCGAGUCUUAACCGGGCGUUAAGUUGCAGGGUAUAGACCCGAAACCCGGUGAUCUAGCCAUGGGCAGGUUGAAGGUUGGGUAACACUAACUGGAGGACCGAACCGACUAAUGUUGAAAAAUUAGCGGAUGACCUGUGGCUGGGGGUGAAAGGCCAAUCAAACCGGGAGAUAGCUGGUUCUCCCCGAAAGCUAUUUAGGUAGCGCCUCGUGAAUUCAUCUCCGGGGGUAGAGCACUGUUUCGGCUAGGGGGCCAUCCCGGCUUACCAACCCGAUGCAAACUGCGAAUACCGGAGAAUGUUAUCACGGGAGACACACGGCGGGUGCUAACGUCCGUCGUGAAGAGGGAAACAACCCAGACCGCCAGCUAAGGUCCCAAAGUCAUGGUUAAGUGGGAAACGAUGUGGGAAGGCCCAGACAGCCAGGAUGUUGGCUUAGAAGCAGCCAUCAUUUAAAGAAAGCGUAAUAGCUCACUGGUCGAGUCGGCCUGCGCGGAAGAUGUAACGGGGCUAAACCAUGCACCGAAGCUGCGGCAGCGAACGUAUCACCCAAGACAACUUUACGGAGUUGACGAUUGACGGAGCGAAGCGACGUCAAAGCGUUCAUUAAAGUCGAGUUGGCUUAGGGAUACGUUCGUUGGGUAGGGGAGCGUUCUGUAAGCCUGUGAAGGUGUGUCGUGAGGCAUGCUGGAGGUAUCAGAAGUGCGAAUGCUGACAUAAGUAACGAUAAAGCGGGUGAAAAGCCCGCUCGCCGGAAGACCAAGGGUUCCUGUCCAACGUUAAUCGGGGCAGGGUGAGUCGACCCCUAAGGCGAGGCCGAAAGGCGUAGUCGAUGGGAAACGGGUUAAUAUUCCCGUACUUGGUGUUACUGCGAAGGGGGGACGGAGAAGGCUAUGUUGGCCGGGCGACGGUUGUCCCGGUUUAAGCGUGUAGGUGUGUGUUCCAGGUAAAUCCGGUUCACUUUAACACUGAGGCGUGACGACGAGGCACUACGGUGCUGAAGCAACAAAUGCCCUGCUUCCAGGAAAAGCCUCUAAGCAUCAGGUAACAUCAAAUCGUACCCCAAACCGACACAGGUGGUCAGGUAGAGAAUACCAAGGCGCUUGAGAGAACUCGGGUGAAGGAACUAGGCAAAAUGGUGCCGUAACUUCGGGAGAAGGCACGCUGACACGUAGGUGAAGUGAUUUACUCAUGGAGCUGAAGUCAGUCGAAGAUACCAGCUGGCUGCAACUGUUUAUUAAAAACACAGCACUGUGCAAACACGAAAGUGGACGUAUACGGUGUGACGCCUGCCCGGUGCCGGAAGGUUAAUUGAUGGGGUCAGCGCAAGCGAAGCUCCUGAUCGAAGCCCCGGUAAACGGCGGCCGUAACUAUAACGGUCCUAAGGUAGCGAAAUUCCUUGUCGGGUAAGUUCCGACCUGCACGAAUGGCGUAAUGAUGGCCAGGCUGUCUCCACCCGAGACUCAGUGAAAUUGAACUCGCUGUGAAGAUGCAGUGUACCCGCGGCAAGACGGAAAGACCCCGUGAACCUUUACUAUAGCUUGACACUGAACAUUGAGCCUUGAUGUGUAGGAUAGGUGGGAGGCUUUGAAGUGUGGACGCCAGUCUGCAUGGAGCCGACCUUGAAAUACCACCCUUUAAUGUUUGAUGUUCUAACGUGGACCCGUAAUCCGGGUUGCGGACAGUGUCUGGUGGGUAGUUUGACUGGGGCGGUCUCCUCCUAAAGAGUAACGGAGGAGCACGAAGGUUGGCUAAUCCUGGUCGGACAUCAGGAGGUUAGUGCAAUGGCAUAAGCCAGCUUGACUGCGAGCGUGACGGCGCGAGCAGGUGCGAAAGCAGGUCAUAGUGAUCCGGUGGUUCUGAAUGGAAGGGCCAUCGCUCAACGGAUAAAAGGUACUCCGGGGAUAACAGGCUGAUACCGCCCAAGAGUUCAUAUCGACGGCGGUGUUUGGCACCUCGAUGUCGGCUCAUCACAUCCUGGGGCUGAAGUAGGUCCCAAGGGUAUGGCUGUUCGCCAUUUAAAGUGGUACGCGAGCUGGGUUUAGAACGUCGUGAGACAGUUCGGUCCCUAUCUGCCGUGGGCGCUGGAGAACUGAGGGGGGCUGCUCCUAGUACGAGAGGACCGGAGUGGACGCAUCACUGGUGUUCGGGUUGUCAUGCCAAUGGCACUGCCCGGUAGCUAAAUGCGGAAGAGAUAAGUGCUGAAAGCAUCUAAGCACGAAACUUGCCCCGAGAUGAGUUCUCCCUGAGACUUAGAGUCUCCUGAAGGAACGUUGAAGACGACGACGUUGAUAGGCCGGGUGUGUAAGCGCAGCGAUGCGUUGAGCUAACCGGUACUAAUGAACCGUGAGGCUUAACCUUACAACGCCGA
Molecule: ribosomal RNA, 3003 nt
Filed under: Salmonella enterica subsp. enterica serovar Typhimurium str. U288
Lineage: Bacteria; Pseudomonadati; Pseudomonadota; Gammaproteobacteria; Enterobacterales; Enterobacteriaceae
Description: bacterial LSU rRNA
Rfam family: Bacterial large subunit ribosomal RNA
Source: RNAcentral